RNAcentral lists this ribosomal RNA (458 nucleotides) under uncultured bacterium. RNAcentral describes it as "partial 16S ribosomal RNA". It matches the Rfam family "Bacterial small subunit ribosomal RNA", at positions 30 to 507 of the family's 1533-position model. The record is from RNAcentral.
AGCGAACGCUGGCGGCAGGCUUAACACAUGCAAGUCGAGCGGGCCCUUCGGGGUCAGCGGCGGACGGGUGAGUAACGCGUGGGAACGUUCCUUCUGGUCUGGAAUAACCCUGGGAAACUAGGGCUAAUACCGGAUACGCCCUUUUGGGGGAAGGUUUACUGCCGGAAGAUCGGCCCGCGUCGGAUUAGCUAGUUGGUGAGGUAACGGCCUACUAAGGGCACGAUCAGUAGCUGGUCUGAGAGGGUGAUCGGCCACACUGGGACGGAGAAACGGCCCAGACUACUGCGGGAGGCAGCAGGCGGGAAUCUUCCGGGAGGGGCGAAGGGGGGAAGAUGGAACACCGCGUGAAGGCUGAAGCCAUCCGGACCGUAGAAGUGUGUAAGGCGGGAAGAUCAUAAGUCUCUUUUACCCGGCACAUUAUGACGGUACCCAAUGAAAAAGCCCCGGCUAACUUCGGG